Molecule: ribosomal RNA, 576 nt
Filed under: uncultured bacterium
Lineage: Bacteria
Description: bacterial SSU rRNA
Rfam family: Bacterial small subunit ribosomal RNA
Source: RNAcentral
ACGGGUGAGUAAUGCCUAGGAAUCUGCCUGGUAGUGGGGGAUAACGUUCGGAAACGGACGCUAAUACCGCAUACGUCCUACGGGAGAAAGCAGGGGACCUUCGGGCCUUGCGCUAUCAGAUGAGCCUAGGUCGGAUUAGCUAGUUGGUGAGGUAAUGGCUCACCAAGGCGACGAUCCGUAACUGGUCUGAGAGGAUGAUCAGUCACACUGGAACUGAGACACGGUCCAGACUCCUACGGGAGGCAGCAGUGGGGAAUAUUGGACAAUGGGCGAAAGCCUGAUCCAGCCAUGCCGCGUGUGUGAAGAAGGUCUUCGGAUUGUAAAGCACUUUAAGUUGGGAGGAAGGGCAGUUACCUAAUAAGUGAUUGUUUUGACGUUACCGACAGAAUAAGCACCGGCUAACUCUGUGCCAGCAGCCGCGGUAAUACAGAGGGUGCAAGCGUUAAUCGGAAUUACUGGGCGUAAAGCGCGCGUAGGUGGUUUGUUAAGUUGGAUGUGAAAUCCCCGGGCUCAACCUGGGAACUGCAUUCAAAACUGACUGACUAGAGUAUGGUAGAGGGUGGUGGAAUUUCCUGU